This 497-nucleotide ribosomal RNA is filed under the name uncultured bacterium. RNAcentral's name for it is "partial 16S ribosomal RNA". It matches the Rfam family "Bacterial small subunit ribosomal RNA", at positions 28 to 507 of the family's 1533-position model. The record is from RNAcentral.
GAUGAACGCUGGCGGCGUGCCUAAUACAUGCAAGUCGAGCGAACGGACGAGAAGCUUGCUUUUCUGAUGUUAGCGGCGGACGGGUGAGUAACAGGUGGAUAACCUACCUAUAAGACUGGGAUAACUUCGGGAAACCGGAGCUAAUACCGGAUAAUAUUUUGAACCGCAUGGUUCAAAAGUGAAAGACGGUCUUGCUGUCACUUAUAGAUGGAUCCGCGCUGCAUUAGCUAGUUGGUAAGGUAACGGCUUACCAAGGCAACGAUGCAUAGCCGACCUGAGAGGGUGAUCGGCCACACUGGAACUGAGACACGGUCCAGACUCCUACGGGAGGCAGCAGUAGGGAAUCUUCCGCAAUGGGCGAAAGCCUGACGGAGCAACGCCGCGUGAGUGAUGAAGGUCUUCGGAUCGUAAAACUCUGUUAUUAGGGAAGAACACAUGUGUAAGUAACUGUGCACAUCUUGACGGUACCUAAUCAGAAAGCCACGGCUAACUACGUG